AUGCGAUAAGUAAUGUGAAUUGCAGAAUUCAGUGAAUCAUCGAAUCUUUGAACGCACAUUGCGCCCGCCGGUAUUCCGGCGGGCAUGCCUGUCCGAGCGUCAUUUCACCACUCAAGCCCAGCUUGGUGUUGGGGCACCCGGCCGCCUGGCGGUCGGGGCCCCCAAGUACAUCGGCGGUCCCGCCGGGGCUCCGAGCGCAGUAACUCGCGGUAAAACGCGCCCUCGCUCGGCGGCCUCUUCGGGCUUCCAGCCGCUAAACCCGUCCGCUGACGUUUUUCGAGUUGACCUCGGAUCAGGUAGGAAUACCCGCUGAACUUAA
RNAcentral lists this unclassified non-coding RNA (319 nucleotides) under uncultured Magnaporthiopsis. RNAcentral describes it as "partial contains 5.8S ribosomal RNA, internal transcribed spacer 2, and large subunit ribosomal RNA". The stretch from base 1 to 102 matches the Rfam family "5.8S ribosomal RNA", at positions 53 to 154 of the family's 154-position model. The record is from RNAcentral. Lineage: Eukaryota; Fungi; Ascomycota; Sordariomycetes; Magnaporthales; Magnaporthaceae.